GCCUCGGUAGUUCAGUCGGUACGAAUGCUCGCUUGGUAAGUGAGAGGUCGUGGGUUCAAUUCCCACCCGAGGCUCCA
RNAcentral lists this transfer RNA (77 nucleotides) under Nanobdellota archaeon. RNAcentral describes it as "tRNA-Thr". It matches the Rfam family "tRNA". Rfam says of the family: Transfer RNA (tRNA) molecules are approximately 80 nucleotides in length. Their secondary structure includes four short double-helical elements and three loops (D, anti-codon, and T loops). Lineage: Archaea; Nanobdellati; Nanobdellota. The record is from RNAcentral.